Molecule: transfer RNA, 62 nt
Filed under: Elgaria multicarinata
Lineage: Eukaryota; Metazoa; Chordata; Lepidosauria; Squamata; Anguidae
Description: tRNA-Ser
Source: RNAcentral
GAGAGAUAAAACGCAAGAACUGCUAACUCACGCACCUGAAGUUGAAACCCUCAGAUCUCUCA